AUUGAAAAUAGAAGUCACCCCUGACCUCCUCAAGUGCCACAAAAAAUUUCCCAAGCUUGUGUGACAUCAGUCCCAUCAAGUUUCCAUGAUGCUACGCCCUGAGAGAGGUGAAGGUUAUGUGGUCAAACUCCAUGGCCUACCAUGGUCCUGCUCAAUUGAGGACGUACAAAACUUCCUCUGACUGUACAAUUCAUGAUGGUAUGGCAGGUGUUCAUUUCAUUUACACUAGAGAAGGCAGGCAGAGUGGUAAGUCUUCCAUUGAACUUGAGUUGAACUUGAUGAUAUAAAGUUGGCUCUGGAAAAAGAUAGGGAAAUCAUGGGAACUGGUAUAUUGAGGUGUUCAAGUCACACAGAACUGAGAUGGAUUGGGUAUUGAAGCACAGUGGUCCAAACAGUACUGACAUAGCCAAUGAUGACUUUGUGGGACUUCAAGGACUCCCAUUUGGAUACACAAAGUAAGAAAUCAUUCUGUUCUUUUUAAGAUUGGAACCUUUGCAAAAUUGUACCUAUGAACCCAGAGGGCAAGAUUACAGGGGAGGUGUUUGUGCAAUUUGCCUCACAGGAGUUAGCUGAGAAAGCUGUAGGGAAGCACAAGGAGAGAAUGGGGUACAGGUAUAUUGAAGUGUUCAAGAGUCAGAAGGAAGUAACUUCUGAAGUUCAUGUCUGUGCAGAGGUCUGGGCCCUAUGACCAGCCUGGCACAGCCAGGAGGUACACUGGCAUUGUGAAGUAGGCAGGCCUGGAUAGGGUGAAGUCUAGUGCCUAUAGUGCAGACUAUGGGGGCUACGAAAAAUACAGUGGCCUCAGUGAUGGCUACAGCUUCACCACUGGCAUUUUUGGGCAAGACCUCAGGAAUGUAUGACCACAGAUCUGGAGACAGGGAGUUCACAGUACAGAGCACCAGCCACUGUGUCCACAUGAGGGAGCUGCCCUACAAAGCAACAGAGAUCAACAUUUACAACUUCUCUCCACUCAACCCCAUGAAGGUUCGUAUUGAGACUGACCAUGAUGGAAGAGUGACAGGCAAAGCUGAUGUUGAGUUUCCCAUCAUGAAGAAGCUGUGGCAGUUAUGUGGAAGGAUAGGGCCAACAUGCAACAUAGGUAAUAGAACUCCUCCUGAAUUCAGCAAUGGGGCUUAUAGCAGUCAGGUGAUACAGGGCAUGGGUGUAUCAGCAGCCCAGGCCACCUAUAGUGGCCUGGAAAGACAGUCAUUGAGUGGUUGUUAG
Nannospalax galili (Upper Galilee mountains blind mole rat) is the source of this 1224-nucleotide RNA transcript. It is a transcript of the gene named heterogeneous nuclear ribonucleoprotein F-like, with no coding region annotated. The record is from RefSeq and is a predicted model, not a curated record. The transcript is spliced from 2 exons. NCBI's taxonomy places the organism in Eukaryota, Metazoa, Chordata, Mammalia, Rodentia, Spalacidae.